CGCGGCCCCAUGUGAUGGGGUCACAGGGUGGUUGGCAGUCCAGUGAGAUGUGCCAUCUGCAGUGUGACCACAUGACACAGCGCCGUG
Non-coding RNA from Ornithorhynchus anatinus (platypus), 87 nucleotides. The record is from RefSeq and is marked provisional. NCBI's taxonomy places the organism in Eukaryota, Metazoa, Chordata, Mammalia, Monotremata, Ornithorhynchidae.